Molecule: ribosomal RNA, 1161 nt
Filed under: Triticum aestivum (bread wheat)
Lineage: Eukaryota; Viridiplantae; Streptophyta; Magnoliopsida; Poales; Poaceae
Description: partial small subunit ribosomal RNA
Source: RNAcentral
AUGUUUGCAUUUACUUCGAUGGGUGGCCAGGUAGACUACGAGAUAAACAAAAAAGGGGGUGCACCGUAUGUUUUUCGCUUGAAUGGCCAAAACUAUCAUCAAAUUGGCACGUUGCUACCUAAAGAUAAUGGAGAUAAUGCUCUCAGGCCAAAGUUUGCUCAAUUGUACAUUUAUGAUACAGAAAAUGAGGUCAGGAAUAGAAUGCAAGCUUCAACCUCAAAGGAAAGGAAAACACAACUUGAUGAAGGCAUUGUGUCUGGAUUAUUGCAGAUGCUUGAUGAGCACAAUGAGUUAGUGAAAUCAUUCCGUAUGGCAAGGGAUAGAUACCAAGAGUCAGAUCUCGAAAAUGUUAGAUUGCGAUUAAUUGGUACAAGAUCCAGUGAUGGAAGACAAUACAACCUACCAAAUGCAUCUGAAAUAGCUGCACUCAUUAUUGGGGAACAGACAGGAGAAAAUGUUGAACGUGAUAUAAUAGUAGAAAACAAAGACAGACAACUCCAGCGAAUUUCAGAACUACAUCCAAGCUUUAUGUCUAUGCAAUACCCGUUAUUAUUCCCGUACGGAGAAGAUGGAUUCAGACCAGAAAUAGAAUUAGAAAAAAAAAAAGAUGUUGAAGGAAAGAGAAAGUAUGUUACCAUGAUGGAGUAUUAUGCAUAUCGUAUCCAGCAGCGACUGAACCAGUCAGUAGUCUUGCAAACGAGUGGCAAGUUGUUCCUUCAGUUCAUCCUAGACGCAGCAACAUGCAUUGAGCAAUGGAGGCUUCAUCAUAUAAUGGAAGUCCGAGGAAUAAACAGCAGUACUACCAGGAUGCAAUGGCCAUAUGUCGGUGGGCUGGAUAUCCAGAUCUGUUUAUCACUUUCACAUGCAACCCAAAGUGGCCAGAAAUACAGAUCAUGUUGGACUUCCUUGAUGCACGAUACCUAUCCGCAGGUGAAGCAUCUUGGCGUAUCUUUGGAUUUGAACUUCAGCACUGGCAACCUUCUGUACAGAGACUGCAAUUCCACCUUCAGGAUGAGCAAAUGGUCGUGUUCCCAGACUCAACUGACAUCGAUAAAAUUGUACAUAGACCUGGGGGAAGAACUGCACAUUCAAGAUUUCACAUCCCGCUCAACAUCACUAAUGAGUCCACAUGUGACAUCAAGCAAGGAUCCUAUCUUAUGA